UGUCCUUCGGGACACAUUGGUCUAUUGAAACGAUACAGGUAAAUAUUCCAAAGCACCCUCGUUCAACUCCCACUAACAUCCACCAGAGAAGAUUAGCAUGGCCCCUGCACUAAGGAUGACACGCUCAAUCAAAGAGAAGCUACCAAUUUUU
Molecule: non-coding RNA, 151 nt
Organism: Fusarium oxysporum f. sp. cubense
Lineage: Eukaryota; Fungi; Ascomycota; Sordariomycetes; Hypocreales; Nectriaceae
Source: Rfam